Odocoileus virginianus texanus is the source of this 559-nucleotide long non-coding RNA. RefSeq lists it as uncharacterized. The record is from RefSeq and is a predicted model, not a curated record. NCBI's taxonomy places the organism in Eukaryota, Metazoa, Chordata, Mammalia, Artiodactyla, Cervidae.
GCCGAGGGGGAGGAACUGGGCUGGUUUUUGAUGGCCUCAUUUGUGGCAUGUCUUCUUCUGGGAGAGAGGGAGGUCAAGGUGAAUCCCUCUUUCAGACUCAGAUGACUCAGGCGACGUCACCCCUGGGCAGAAGAGGCAAUGGUGGGGGCGUUUCCAGCCAGGCUGAGUGAGGCGAGGUGACAUUUAAGGGCUUUGAAGAAACGCAGCACUUCCGGCAGAGGGACCCUAAAUUGCACCUGCGUUUCUGCAGGCUCUUCACUUGCUUUUUAUAUCCUUGCAGGCUGUCUCUGGAAUUGCUGAAAGGUGGAAAAAUCUGCACAUUCCUUAGGCGUUUGGCAGCCAGGCGGGGAGGAGAGUGAUGAGAACCAGGCUCUUCAGGAAACAGUGAUAAAGGAAAACACCGAAUUAUCUCCUUGUUCACAUUCCUCUUCCUCAGAAGUCACCCACUACUUCAUUACCCUGGAGACUUCCUUCAAGAAAAAAGCAGGAGUGUGAUAAGAUGAAAAGUUUUUCUCUCAAAAUUCUUUUGUAACUUGAAAUAAAUUGUACUAAGAAAGCA